RNAcentral lists this ribosomal RNA (253 nucleotides) under uncultured bacterium. RNAcentral's name for it is "partial 16S ribosomal RNA". It matches the Rfam family "Bacterial small subunit ribosomal RNA", at positions 524 to 776 of the family's 1533-position model. The record is from RNAcentral.
UACGAAGGGGGCUAGCGUUGCUCGGAAUCACUGGGCGUAAAGCGCACGUAGGCGGCUUCUUAAGUCAGGGGUGAAAUCCUGGAGCUCAACCCCAGAACUGCCUUUGAUACUGAGGAGCUCGAGUCCGGGAGAGGUGAGUGGAACUCCGAGUGUAGAGGUGAAAUUCGUAGAUAUUCGGAAGAACACCAGUGGCGAAGGCGGCUCACUGGCCCGGUACUGACGCUGAGGUGCGAAAGCGUGGGGAGCAAACAGG